Molecule: ribosomal RNA, 460 nt
Filed under: Metapseudomonas otitidis
Lineage: Bacteria; Pseudomonadati; Pseudomonadota; Gammaproteobacteria; Pseudomonadales; Pseudomonadaceae
Description: bacterial SSU rRNA
Rfam family: Bacterial small subunit ribosomal RNA
Source: RNAcentral
UGCAGUCGAGCGGAUGAGUGGAGCUUGCUCCAUGAUUCAGCGGCGGACGGGUGAGUAAUGCCUAGGAAUCUGCCUGGUAGUGGGGGAUAACGUUUCGAAAGGAACGCUAAUACCGCAUACGUCCUACGGGAGAAAGUGGGGGAUCUUCGGACCUCACGCUAUCAGAUGAGCCUAGGUCGGAUUAGCUAGUUGGUGGGGUAAUGGCCCACCAAGGCGACGAUCCGUAACUGGUCUGAGAGGAUGAUCAGUCACACUGGAACUGAGACACGGUCCAGACUCCUACGGGAGGCAGCAGUGGGGAAUAUUGGACAAUGGGCGAAAGCCUGAUCCAGCCAUGCCGCGUGUGUGAAGAAGGUCUUCGGAUUGUAAAGCACUUUAAGUUGGGAGGAAGGGCAGUAAGUUAAUACCUUGCUGCUUUGACGUUACCAACAGAAUAAGCACCGGCUAACUUCGUGCCAGC